GACGAACGCUGGCGGCGUGCUUAACACAUGCAAGUCGAACGAAGAGCGAUGGAAGCUUGCUUCUAUCAAUCUUAGUGGCGAACGGGUGAGUAACGCGUAAUCAACCUGCCCUUCAGAGGGGGACAACAGUUGGAAACGACUGCUAAUACCGCAUACGAUCUAACCUCGGCAUCGAGGAUAGAUGAAAGGUGGCCUCUACAUGUAAGCUAUCACUGAAGGAGGGGAUUGCGUCUGAUUAGCUUGUUGGAGGGGUAACGGCCCACCAAGGCGAUGAUCAGUAGCCGGUCUGAGAGGAUGAACGGCCACAUUGGGACUGAGACACGGCCCAGACUCCUACGGGAGGCAGCAGUGGGGAAUCUUCCGCAAUGGACGAAAGUCUGACGGAGCAACGCCGCGUGAGUGAUGACGGCCUUCGGGUUGUAAAGCUCUGUUAAUCGGGACGAAAGGCCUUCUUGCGAAUAGUUAGAAGGAUUGACGGUACCGGAAUAGAAAGCCGCGGCUAACUACGUG
This 510-nucleotide ribosomal RNA is filed under the name uncultured bacterium. RNAcentral describes it as "partial 16S ribosomal RNA". It matches the Rfam family "Bacterial small subunit ribosomal RNA", at positions 28 to 507 of the family's 1533-position model. The record is from RNAcentral.